UGCAAGUAUCAGCACACCUGUGAGAACGCCCUUUAUUCUUUAUAGAAGAUGGAGCUGGUAUCAGGCACAGACCCCCUAGCCCAUGACACCUAGCUUUGCCACACCCUCAAGGGUACUCAGCAGUGAUUAACAUUGUUCAUAAGCGCCAGCUUGACUCAGUUAGAUAGACCCAGAGGCCGGCCUAAUACGGUGCCAGCCGCCGCGGCUACACCGUCUAGGCUCAAGUUGAUAAUUUUUCGGCGUUAAGCGUGUUAAAGUUCUCUCCAGAUUAGAAUUAAACUUAAACCAAGUUGUGACACACUUGUUUAUAAGAAAAACACAAACGAAAGUUAUUCUAACAUAACCACUUGAACCCACGACAGCUAGGACACAAACUGGGAUUAGGUACCCCACUAUGCUCAGCUGUAAAAUAUUAAUUACACCAAAACCGCCAAAGAACUACGAGCGCAAGCUUAAAACUUAAAGGACUUGACGGUGCCCCAUCUACCUAGAGGAGCCUGUUCUAUAAUCGAUAAUCCUCGUUAUAUCUUACCUUUUUUUGCUCAUCAGUCUGUAUACUUCCGUCGUAAGCUUACCAUAUGAAUGUAUUAGUAAGUUAAAUAGUAAUAAUAUUACCAAAACGUCAGGUCAAAGUGCAGCCUACAAAAAGGGAAGAAAUGGGCUACAAUUUCUAAUUAAGAACAUACGAAUUUAAGUAACUGAAAACUACUAUGAAGGCGGAUUUAGAAGUAAAGCGAAAAUAAAGUGUUCGCUUUAACAAUGCUCUGGGACGUGUACACACCGCCCGUCAUCCUCUUCAAUACUUUAAAGAAUAAAUAAAUAAUAAUAGACACUAAACAAGAA
RNAcentral lists this ribosomal RNA (843 nucleotides) under Hyperolius viridiflavus (common reed frog). RNAcentral describes it as "partial 12S rRNA". It matches the Rfam family "Bacterial small subunit ribosomal RNA", at positions 173 to 1462 of the family's 1533-position model. The record is from RNAcentral. Lineage: Eukaryota; Metazoa; Chordata; Amphibia; Anura; Hyperoliidae.